GAUGAACGCUGGCGGCGUGCCUAAUACAUGCAAGUCGAGCGAACGGACGAGAAGCUUGCUUCUCUGAUGUUAGCGGCGGACGGGUGAGUAACACGUGGAUAACCUACCUAUAAGACUGGGAUAACUUCGGGAAACCGGAGCUAAUACCGGAUAAUAUUUUGAACCGCAUGGUUCAAAAGUGAAAGACGGUCUUGCUGUCACUUAUAGAUGGAUCCGCGCUGCACUAGCUAGUUGGUAAGGUAACGGCUUACCAAGGCAACGAUGCAUAGCCGACCUGAGAGGGUGAUCGGCCACACUGGAACUGAGACACGGUCCAGACUCCUACGGGAGGCAGCAGUGGGGAAUCUUCCGCAAUGGGCGAAAGCCUGACGGAGCAACGCCGCGUGAGUGAUGAAGGUCUUCGGAUCGUAAAACUCUGUUAUUAGGGAAGAACAUAUGUGUAAGUAACUGUGCACAUCUUGACGGUACCUAAUCAGAAAGCCACGGCUAACUACGUGCCAGCAGCCGCGGUAAUACGUAGGUGGCAAGCGUUAUCCGGAAUUAUUGGGCGUAAAGCGCGCGUAGGCGGUUUUUUAAGUCUGAUGUGAAAGCCCACGGCUCAACCGUGGAGGGUCAUUGGAAACUGGAAAACUUGAGUGCAGAAGAGGAAAGUGGAAUUCCAUGUGUAGCGGUGAAAUGCGCAGAGAUAUGGAGGAACACCAGCGGCGAAGGCGACUUUCUGGUCUGUAACUGACGCUGAUGUGCGAAAGCGUGGGGAUCAAACAGGAUUAGAUACCCUGGUAGUCCACGCCGUAAACGAUGAGUGCUAAGUGUUAGGGGGUUUCCGCCCCUUAGUGCUGCAGCUAACGCAUUAAGCACUCCGCCUGGGGAGUACGACCGCAAGGUUGAAACUCAAAGGAAUUGACGGGGACCCGCACAAGCGGUGGAGCAUGUGGUUUAAUUCGAAGCAACGCGAAGAACCUUACCAAAUCUUGACAUCCUUUGACAACUCUAGAGAUAGAGCUUUCCCCUUCGGGGGACAAAGUGACAGGUGGUGCAUGGUUGUCGUCAGCUCGUGUCGUGAGAUGUUGGGUUAAGUCCCGCAACGAGCGCAACCCUUAAGCUUAGUUGCCAUCAUUAAGUUGGGCACUCUAAGUUGACUGCCGGUGACAAACCGGAGGAAGGUGGGGAUGACGUCAAAUCAUCAUGCCCCUUAUGAUUUGGGCUACACACGUGCUACAAUGGACAAUACAAAGGGCAGCGAAACCGCGAGGUCAAGCAAAUCCCAUAAAGUUGUUCUCAGUUCGGAUUGUAGUCUGCAACUCGACUACAUGAAGCUGGAAUCGCUAGUAAUCGUAGAUCAGCAUGCUACGGUGAAUACGUUCCCGGGUCU
RNAcentral lists this ribosomal RNA (1372 nucleotides) under uncultured bacterium. RNAcentral's name for it is "bacterial SSU rRNA". It matches the Rfam family "Bacterial small subunit ribosomal RNA", at positions 28 to 1381 of the family's 1533-position model. The record is from RNAcentral.